RNAcentral lists this ribosomal RNA (463 nucleotides) under uncultured bacterium. Its description in RNAcentral is "partial 16S ribosomal RNA". It matches the Rfam family "Bacterial small subunit ribosomal RNA", at positions 28 to 507 of the family's 1533-position model. The record is from RNAcentral.
GAUGAACGCUGACAGCAUGCUUAACACAUGCAAGUCUUUGGCGAAGCUGUGCUUGCACAGCCUAGCCAAGGCGGGCGGGUGAGGAGCGCGAAAGGAACUUGCCCUGCCGUCAGGGAUAACAGAAGGAAAGGACUGAUAAGACCUGGUAAAGUCAUGCGGACUACUGUCCAGCCCGAUGAAAAGAGAUGCUGUAGGAGAGCCUUGCGUCCUAGUACAUUGUUGGUGGGGUAACGGCCCACCAAGGCGAUGAUAGGGAGCCGGCCGGAGAGGGGGGACGGCCACAAGGGCACUGAGAUACAGCCCUUACUCCUACGGGAGGCAGCAGUGGGGAAUAUUGGACCAUGGGGGCAACCCUGAUCCAGCAAUUCUGUGUGCACGAUGAAGGUUUUCGGAUUGAAAAGUGCUUUCAGCAGGGAAGAACAAAAUGACGGUACCUGCAGAAGAAGCGACGGCUAAAUACGUG